Molecule: ribosomal RNA, 176 nt
Filed under: uncultured bacterium
Lineage: Bacteria
Description: partial 16S ribosomal RNA
Rfam family: Bacterial small subunit ribosomal RNA
Source: RNAcentral
CUCCUACGGGAGGCAGCAGUGAGGAAUAUUGCGCAAUGGAGGCAACUCUGACGCAGCCAUGCCGCGUGCAGGAAGACGGCCCUACGGGUUGUAAACUGCUUUUCAUCCGGGAAGAAACCCCAGGACGUGUCCUGGGUUGACGGUACCGGAGGAAUAAGCACCGGCUAACUCCGUGC